CGAAGCUUAAAAACAAAUCUCCGCGUUGUACCCGGUACACUUUGCUUCUCUCUCUGUUGGCCGACGUCUCUCUAUCUGUAUGUGUCUCACCGUUCCUCUCGACGAACCGGCGGACACGCGAGAGAACGUAUCACAAUGCCUAACGAGUACCCUCGUGCUUGAUGCGUCUCGCGCCGGACUACGUACUGCCAUGUUUCUAAAGACACACCGAGUGCUUGUUCUGCUAAGCGCUUCCCUAUUUUACUGUUUCGCUUGUUACCUUCGUUCUUUUUUUUUCGGAUUCUCGAGAACUUUUUCUCGUUAUGUCCUUUUGGUCGUUUCUUCGAGGGAUUACGCUUUAACGAUCGUACGUGGGAACUGCGAGAUGAAACGUUGCAAUGGGCAGUGGAAGAUUUCGGUGAAAUAAUAUUUUGUUCGUUGUGUUAAUUUGUUGGAGCGUCGAGAAUUUGUUCAGUCACUUUGGAAAGAAAACACCGCUGCGUUGUUGAUAGCUGCAUUUUACUCGUUACGAUAUAUUUUCGCAGAACGCGGACAAUUUCUUCGGUCAUUUUGUUCGUAAUUACGACAGUUACGUCUGUAAUGGAAUGGUAACAAUAUACGAGAGUGGAGAUUCGUGUGCAGCGAUUGAAAAUUUUAAUAUCGUAUUUUAUAUUCGUUAUGAUUUUUUUCUAGACUUUUCAUGCCGUAUAACGAAUGAGAAGUAAUACGCGACGAUCGAAGACUUUGAAAGGUUUUACAAAGCAAUUGUGUAAACCUUUGUGUGGUUUCAUAGAGGGAACAUAUGGCUCUGUAAAAAUUGAAAAACUGUGAAUCGAUUGUUUAAACACGAUCUAAUCUUCGUUCCAUAAAUUCUAAAUAAAACAAAAUUGCUAUACCGAAGGUGUUUUGUAUUAAUAGCGUUUCAUAAUCUGUGAACUACGAAAAGUAGUCCAUAAAAUGAAGAUACUAUCUAAAUAUAUUUACAAUGAAAAUUAAAAGGAAUUUUAAUUAGGCAGACUUUUUAACAUUUUGACACCAUUUUACAUCUAUAUAAUUUGGACAAUAAAUUAAAGGAAAUCUUUAUGUCUAUCCUCGUGCAGUUAAUUACAUUUAUAUCGUAUUAAUAACUAUUAAAAAUGUGAUUUGUAUCGUUUUUCUAUUUCGCUAGUGUUAUUGGAUAUAUUUUCAUUCGAAGCAAACGGCGGAAUUAAUGUUGAACGAUAAAGCAGCGUGGCAAUGCAAAAUUCCCGGUAUCUCUCGGAAAACUAACUCAUCGGAGCGUACAGCGGCGAGGAAGCACGGUUGAAAUGAUAUUUCUCGUUGCGCCUCUCCUACGGGAUCCUCGUGGCGAAACAUGGCGUCUUCGCGUACAGACGAACGGCCACCAUAAAGGUUCAAAACGAAGGACGAGCGUGGCAUUUAUGUGGUCUAAGGGUUUCGAUUGACGUUUAAAAUCUCGUUGAUUCUAUAAAUUAAUAACGCGUCGGCAAUUAUAAAUAUGCAACAAAAUUUGAUCAAAAGCAAUCGAAAUUGUAGUAAAAGAACAGACCACAGUACUAUAUAGAUAUAUACGCAGAGUUUAUGGUUAUAAAUUAGUAUUGAUGCGCCACCGAUGGAAAUGAAAUUUCAUGAAAGGCUAAAGAAAAUGUAAAAUAUGCAACAGCGCUGUAUUGUUUAAUGAAAUUAAACUGAGAAGAUAUAUCUAUCUACCAUUACAUUAUAAAAUACAUAUUCAUCAAAUUCUUCGCUAAAAUGGACAUGUGCAUUUCUUUUUAAUAAAUUUACUGUCGAAUAACUAUGUAAAAUGUGUUUAUGCUACGUUAGCAACAACAAUAAUUUUGCAAUAUGGACGUGAGAUAUUUGUAUUUUUUGGAAAAUGCGUUGAAUGUGUAUUGAAUGAAUUAAAACAUGCAUUUUAACAAUAUCUGCAAUUAAAAUUUUUUUCAAUACGAACACGAGGUACCAUCGGGGAAUAAUUAAUGCGGACGCUUUCAGGAAAUAAUUAAUAUUGACAUUAAUAAAAACCAUAUUUUAGAGGAAAAGUAUCAGACGAAAACACGGAAGCUUUAUUUUCUCCGUCAAUUAAAAUGUUACACAAAAGAGCUGUCGCAUUCAAAUAAUAAAAAGCUAUUCGUUCCAAAUUGAUUUCGUACACAUAUCUACAUACUUUUCAUUUGGAUUUUCACGACGAAUUCUAGAGAAUACUUUAAUUAUUCGUUCAAUUGGAAGAACAUUUUCAUAUGUAUCAAAAUAAAUUUGCUCGCUAAAUGAAUAUAUUUUCAUCUUCUUGUCGCCAAAAAUAUAUCAAACAGGCCACAAACGACCAAUAUUGAAAUUAUUACGUAUCGUAUCUCGGUGGCAAAUAAGUAUCGAUUUCAUACGUAUGAACUUUGCUGCCUGUAUCCAAUCACAUUAAAAACAUUUUCCAUUAAAUAACAGCAGCAAUAAAUUUCGAAAAUUGGUAGAACAUUCGUUUAAAACGUUAAAUUUCAUUAUUGGAAUAAAAAUAUACGAUUAUAUA
Long non-coding RNA from Bombus terrestris (buff-tailed bumblebee), 2500 nucleotides. RefSeq lists it as uncharacterized. The transcript has 3 exons. Lineage: Eukaryota; Metazoa; Arthropoda; Insecta; Hymenoptera; Apidae. The record is from RefSeq and is a predicted model, not a curated record.